AGUCGUAACAAGGUUUCCGUAGGUGAACCUGCGGAAGGAUCAUUAACACUUUAAAAAAAAACACUUAACACCUUUGUGAGAACUACUAAACAAAAACAAAACUUGAAGAUGAAAGGGGGGGAAAGGAGAAAGGAAACUUUAUGUUUCCUCUUCACACCCCUCUCCCUCUCUGAUUCAACAUUUAUUUUUUUAAACAAAAAACACCAUAAAACGUAAAGGUGAACAAAUUCUUGGAAUUAAAAAACCAAAUUAAAAAACAAAACAAAAAUACAACUCUUAACAAUGGAUAUCUUGGUUCUCGC
RNAcentral lists this unclassified non-coding RNA (302 nucleotides) under fungal sp. Its description in RNAcentral is "partial internal transcribed spacer region". The stretch from base 1 to 45 matches the Rfam family "Eukaryotic small subunit ribosomal RNA", at positions 1787 to 1831 of the family's 1831-position model. Lineage: Eukaryota; Fungi. The record is from RNAcentral.